AUCUUUGCUUUUGGGGCAAUGAUUCAACUAAUGAGGUACUAACAGAGGUGUCUCUAUUGCUGGUUGAAAACUAUUUCCAGAUAAUAAUCAAUUAAAAUAAAAAGAAGGGAGAAUUAGCUAGAAAAUCAUGAAAGAU
This is a small nuclear RNA of Arabis alpina (gray rockcress), 136 nucleotides long. It matches the Rfam family "U4 spliceosomal RNA". Rfam says of the family: U4 small nuclear RNA (U4 snRNA) is a component of the major U2-dependent spliceosome. The structure of U4 snRNA from yeast and human has been reported. The record is from Rfam. NCBI's taxonomy places the organism in Eukaryota, Viridiplantae, Streptophyta, Magnoliopsida, Brassicales, Brassicaceae.